This 802-nucleotide ribosomal RNA is filed under the name Hypotrachyna imbricatula. RNAcentral describes it as "partial small subunit ribosomal RNA". It matches the Rfam family "Bacterial small subunit ribosomal RNA", at positions 357 to 1153 of the family's 1533-position model. Lineage: Eukaryota; Fungi; Ascomycota; Lecanoromycetes; Lecanorales; Parmeliaceae. The record is from RNAcentral.
AGGAAUGUAUAGCAAUAGCUAGUUGCAUCAUUUUAAAUAUGAUGCAAGAUUGACUAUGUUGAAUAAAAUUCUAGGUAGAGUUAUGAUAAUGACAUUUUCUACCUAUGUGUCUUGACCAAAUUACGUGCCAGCAGUCGCGGUAAUACGUAGAAGACUAGUGUUAUUCAUGUUUAAUCGGUUUAAAGGGUACCUAGACGGCAGAUCAAGCUUUCCGAGCAGAAAAAAAAAAAGGACUAAUCUGCUAGAGUUACUUACGAGGGGGUUUUAAAGUACUGCUGGUGUAGAGAUGAAAUUCUGUCAUACCUUUUUUCGAAAGAAAAAUAACGGCACAGGUAUAGGCGAAGGCAUCCCCUUAUGUGAUAACUGACGUUGAGGGACGAAGGCUUUAUAUAACGAACAGGAUUAGAUACCCUAUUAGUGGAAGCAGUAAAUGAUGAAUGUCAUAGAUUAGAUUAGUUUAUUCUAUAAAUGAAAGUGUAAGCAUUCCACCUCAUGAGUAAUUUGGCAACAUUGGAAUUGAAAUCAUUAGACCGUUUCUGAAACCAGUAGUGAAGUAUGUUGUUUAAUUUGAUGAUCCGCAAAAAACCUUACCACAAUUUGAAUAUUUAUAUUAUUUAUUGUUUUUUUAUUAAUUUUCUUCUUUUUAAACAAGAAAAUUAAUAAACAGGCAAUAAGAUAUAUUUACAAGCGUUGCACGGCUGUCUUCAGUUAAUGUCGCGAGAUUUUGGUUAGAUCCAUUAAAUUAACGUAAACCCUUACUUUAUUUUUAGAUAGAGUUGUUCCCCACUAUAUUGGAUUCGAU